Molecule: transfer RNA, 99 nt
Filed under: Actinoplanes octamycinicus
Lineage: Bacteria; Bacillati; Actinomycetota; Actinomycetes; Micromonosporales; Micromonosporaceae
Description: tRNA-Pro
Source: RNAcentral
GGCGCGGCUGUCGCGUCGGACCCGGGUGACGGCGCUUCGGAGGCGGCGGUCGAGCAGGCCAAGCGCCGGGCGAAAGCGAUCGAUCCGCUGGCCGCGGUG